AUGAUUUCAAGGUUGAAGCAAUCUGAGAAUGGCCAACUCCAAAGAUCAUUUCCGAAGUACAAGUUUUGUGAAGAAUUUCAGAACUAUAAUGGCACCAACUACCGAGUGCCUGAAGAAAGGAAGUUCCAAUGGACAGAAGUGGCUGAAGCUAGUUCGAAUGAGAUCAAGCAAAAACUCUCACAAGCUUCUGUCUUGGUUCUACCUGAUUUCAACAAGACUUGUGAGUUGGAGUGUGAUGCAAGUGGAGUAGGCGUUGAAGCUGUUCUAUCUCAAGAAAGGAAGCCCAUUGCUUUCUUUAGUGAGAAGUUAAGCGAAGCUAGGCAGAAAUGGAGUACCUAUCAACAAGAAUUGCAUGCUGUUUCAGAGGUUUGA
Molecule: ribosomal RNA, 372 nt
Filed under: Triticum aestivum (bread wheat)
Lineage: Eukaryota; Viridiplantae; Streptophyta; Magnoliopsida; Poales; Poaceae
Description: partial small subunit ribosomal RNA
Source: RNAcentral